GACGAACGCUGGCGGCGUGCCUAACACAUGCAAGUCGAACGGAUUUGUGAGGUGUGAGGUUAGAGGUUAGAGGUGAGAAAUUCUAAGGAAGAAAUCGGCGCAGGCCGAUUUCAACAAGAUUCUCACAUCCAACUUCUCACCUCGCACUUCGCAAAUUAGUGGCGGACGGGUGAGUAACGCGUGGAUGACCUACCUAUAUGUGGGGGAUAACAGUUGGAAACGACUGCUAAUACCGCAUGUGAUCACAAUUAUAAAGGUUGUGAGGAAAGAUGGCCUCUGUUUACAAGCUGUCGCAUAUAGAUGGGUCCGCGUCUGAUUAGCUAGUUGGUAGGGUAAAGGCCUACCAAGGCGACGAUCAGUAGCCGGCCUGAGAGGGUGGACGGCCACACUGGGACUGAGACACGGCCCAGACUCCUACGGGAGGCAGCAGGUGGGGAAUAGUUGCGCAAGUGGGGGAAACCCUGGACGCAGCGACGCCGCGUGGCGAAGAAGGCCUUUA
This 499-nucleotide ribosomal RNA is filed under the name uncultured bacterium. Its description in RNAcentral is "bacterial SSU rRNA". It matches the Rfam family "Bacterial small subunit ribosomal RNA", at positions 28 to 420 of the family's 1533-position model. The record is from RNAcentral.